This 7678-nucleotide long non-coding RNA is filed under the name Homo sapiens (human). Its description in RNAcentral is "HSALNT0318710". The record is from RNAcentral. Lineage: Eukaryota; Metazoa; Chordata; Mammalia; Primates; Hominidae.
CUCUUCAAGCAAAAAGACUUAGCAAUUUUGGGAACUCUUCAAAUACCACCAUUCCAGUGAACCCCAUUGCCCUUAGGAUAAAAUCUGCAAUCCUUCACAAGCCUUUGAGGCCCUGCGUGAUGGGGUCCUACCUGCCUCUCCAGCUCCGGCUCCUGCCACUGGCCCCCAAACCUCCUGCACUCAACCACAAUGGCCACCACUCUGGUUUCUGACUGCCCCAAUUUCCUCUCCACCUUCAGCCUUUGCUUGUGCUGCGCCCUCCCCCUGGGGCUCUUCCUCUCUCUUUACCUGGCAAUCCUCCUUAUCCUUGUUCCAGGUUGAAUGUCAUCGGCAAAGAUCAGGCAAGCUCCUCCAUUAUGAUCUUCUGGGAUCAUAAGAUCAUUAAGAACUUCAUUACAGGUCUUAGCACAAGCGUGAAUAAUUACUAUUGCUUUAAAAUUGUGCUCCCCCACUGGCAGGGACUUUGUCUAUCAUAUACACCUAGCACUUAGUGCAAUGCUGAAUAUUUCGUAGGUCAAAUGCACAAAUGAAUGAAGUAGGUGCACAAAAGAUAUUGACUGCCUAUGAGAGAAUCUAACAAAGCAAACCCAGUAAAACAAAAUCUUCAUCUUAAAUGUGCACAAACUAGGGAGUGAGUAUUCUCUCCUACCUCUCCUCUCCAAUCAUUCUGGCACAAGGAUUUCAGAUGGUCCUGCCUUCCCAUCAGGGCUGUACCAUCAAAUCUACUGCCUGGCUUUCAGGACCCUCCCUUAUCAUUAUCAUCAUCAUGAACAUUAUUGAACAUGUAAUAUGUUCCAUGUGCAUUACUCAGUAUUCUCUACUGAUCUAUUUUGAUCCUCACUGCAAUCCAUAAAAUAGUGCAGUGUAUUAAAGAUGGGCACAGAUGCAUAAAUUCUUUGACAUUUCUCUCAUUGAGAGGUGGGGUCUUUGUCCCCUCCCCUUGAAUCUGAGCUAUCAUGUGACUGCUUUGACCAAUAGAGUGCACAGGAAAUCAUGUCAUGCCUUUUCCAGUUUCUGUGUCGGAAUGGUCACUCUGGGGGAAGACUGCUUACAACUAAUGACUAACACCUAAUUGGCACAAAGAAUGUAAGAAGUCUGACUCCCCUGAGACUGCAGGGAGGAAACUCGAGCUGGUUGCAGGGAGAGGUCCUGGGGAAAGAAUGCCCUUCCAGCCCCCAGCUGUUGCAACCAUGCCAGCCCGGGUGCCAGGCACGUACAUGAAGGCACUAUCUUGCACAUCCAGCCCAGUGGAGCCUUCAGCUGACUCCAGCCCCAGCCACAGGAGAAGCUCCAUGACAGACCACUCAGCUGACCCCAGUUAACCCCCAAAAUUGUAAGAGAGAAUAACAAAUUAGUAUUUUAAGCCACUAGAUUGUGGGGAGGAUUAUUAGGCAGCAAUAAAUAGCCAAAACACAUAGGCACUAUUAUGACCCUGGCUUUAUAAAUGAGAAACUGAGACCCAGCACACUCAAAACCACACAGCUGGGAAGGGGUGGAGCUGGGAGCCCAAUCCAGGAAGGCUGGCUUCAGAACCCAGGCUUUCAUCAUCCAUGCAGCCACACCACUCUUUGGCAGGCAACUUUUUCCAUUUGACUCCUCCAAGACAUAGUCUCUACUGCUGUUGUGCCUCUAAAAGGGUCCCCUUCUCUUUCCUUCUGCCCAUGUGCCUAAUCCCCUACCUCUAUCAUGAUCCCCUCUCUGAAUCCUCUACUGAUAUGCCCUUCCUCCAAAUUCCUGGGUACAUUUAAAGAUAGGCAUCUAGCCUUACCAUUCAUUGUUCUAGUAAUAUUCUUCAUGCUGUUUUUUGCUUCACAACUAUACGUUAUCUCCUUAAAGGUCAAGACUAAAUCUCCUAUUUUGAUUUUGCCCACCUCUCCAGAAAACCUUGCCCAUCCCCACUUUGCCCAGCACAAUGCUGUGCACUCAAUAAAUGCACCCUCCAGCCAUACUGGCCAAGCUCAUUCCCUUUUCAGAGCCUUUAUGUUUGCAGUUCCCUUUCCCUGGAAUACGCUUUCUUAGCUUUCAACCUGAGCUGCUCCUUCACAGCACUCAGAUCUCAGAAAAUAUCUCCCCUCCACCAACAGGCCUAUCCUGACCACCCUGUCUAAAGGAGCCACGCCUCCCCACCCCUAGUCAGCCACUCACCAUCUCCUUAUCCUGCAUUGUAUUAAUUAGUUGUCAGUUUCUUAAUUCCCUUAGGUAGCAAACAAGUUCCAGAAGGACAGAACAUGCCCAUCUUGUUUAUUGCUAUAGUCUCAAUCCCCAGGACAGUUUCUGGCCUAUAGUAACAUCUCAAAAAAUAUUGUUAAAUAAAUGAAUGCAUAUUUGUUGAUUGAAUCUUCACUUCAUAAGAUCUGCCACCAUGGAGCAGUUGUGCUCAUGUACACAAAACAUUUUCCCCUAUCAUGUCAGUUGCAUCUUCAGCAUAAUGUGCAACCUUCCACUUCUCAUGCAGAAAGACUAUACUUGCCUCUAAGGUGAACUCUGUGUUUAUUUUAUAUAUAUAUAUAUAUAUUUUAAGUUCUGGGAUACAUGUGCAGAACGUGCAGGUUUGUUACAUAAGUAUACAUGGGCCAUGGUGGUUUGCUGCACCUGUCAACCCAUCAUAUAGGUUUUAAGCCCCACAUGCAUUAGGUAUUUGUCCUAAUGCUCUCCCUCCCCUUGCCCCCAACCCCUUGACAGGCCCCGGUGUGUGACGUUCCCCUCCCUGUGUCCAUGUGUUGUCACUGAGGUAAAUUCUGUGUUUAUUUAGCCAGUUGUUGACGUCGGGCAGUAGUCUACAUGCUGCUUUGGUUGUCCAAACCAUUUUUCACAACUGAGUUCUCAGAAGAACAGUGGGUUUUUUUUUGUUUUUGUUAUUGUUUUGUUUUGUUUUCAUUUUUCUUUUAUAGAGACAGGGGCUCAUUGUGUUGCCCAGGCUGAUCUCAAACUCCUGGGCUCAAGCAAUCCAUUCACCUCGGCCUCUCAAAGUGCUGGGAUUACAGGCAUGAACCACCAUGCCUGGCCUAGAAGAGUGCAUUUAAAGCUGGUCGAGGAGCCUCUAGGAUGACCCCAAGAAGAGAGGGUGGCCAAGCAGGCUUAGUACGACAUGCAUUAAUAAAGGCCACAUUGCAGGGAUGAUGAAAUGAGAAUAUUAAAUCCAAUGGAGGUCCAUUUUGCUCACUAUGGUAAACACAGAAAUUCAUCCUGGUAUCUAGAACAGAGUAAAUCCUCAAUAAACACUUGUUGAAUGAACAAAGGAACAAACCAAUGAAUUAAUGAAACAUCUUUACCUUGUGUCUCAUUUCUUAUCACUUAUCAUUUCAAUAUGUGCAAGAACUCAGAGUACAUUUUUCAUUUUGUGUAUGUGAAACUUACCAACAAAAUAGUAGCUAAAAAGUUGUAAAACUUACAAGUUUUCAACAACAAAGUUGAAAUGUAAAUGAACAUCUGUGCUCCCCGAAAUACAUAAUAGGCAAGUAGAGAAAUCUAGAAAGGAAAGGCCACAGGCUGAGGGAGUUAACAGAUGCGAUAGUCUAUUAACAUUAAUUUUCUGAAGUGUAUAUUUCAGAAAUUUGCUCAGCCUCGCUGAGUCUCAGUUUCCUCAACUGUAUACUGAAGACAAUUUCUUUAUUUACCAACCUGAAAUAUUCAUAGUGAGUCUAAGAUGGAAGAACAGAUGAGUAAAUACUUUAAAAGUGUAAUAAGAGGCCAGGCGUUGUGGCUCACACCUGUAAUCCCAGCACUUCGGGAGGCCAAGGCGGGCAGAUCAUUUGAGGUCAGGAGUUCGAGACCAGACUGGCCAACAUGGCAAAACCCUGUCUCUACAAAAACUACAAAAAUUAGCUGGGCGUGGUGACACGCGCCUGUAAUCCCAGCUACUCAGGAGGCUGAGAGGCAUGAGAAUCACUUGAACCCAGGAGGUGGUGGUUACACUGAGCUGAGAUUGUGCUGCUGCACUCCAGCCUGGGCAACAGAGCAAGACUCCAUCUCAAAAGAAAAAAAAAAGUGUAAUAGGAAUAUGAGCUAAUCGACAGUUUCCAUCUUCCUCUCUUUCUGACAUUUCAAAUACUUAAAAAUACUUUUAAAAAUUUUUUAAUCAAUGUAAUAUAUUUUUUACUAUUUCUGAGUUUCAUGAUUCAUUCACAAAUGACUAUUACCUGUUUGUUCCAAAUACUCAAUCUGCAAAGUUUUUCCUAAUCAUUUUAUAAUUCUUCACUCGUUUUUAUUCUGUUCUCUCUGCUUUUCAGCAAAGGAUCUCAUGGUAUAGAGAGCUUCUCCAUCUUACCAGAGGCAGAGAGCAAGUUAGAAACAGCAAAGAAAAAAUCAAACUCUUGAGCCUCUAGUCUGUGGUUUAUAGUAUAGAGCCCAAACAACUGGGCCUAUAAAAUUGUCACUAGUGGCGGUGUGCGGUGGCUCACACCUGUAAUCCCAGCACUUUGGGAGGCCAAGGAGGGAGGAUCACCUGAGGUCAUGAGUUCAAGACCAGCCUGGUCAACAUGGUAAAACCCUGAUUCUACUAAAAGUACAGAAAUUAGCCAGGUGUAGUGGCGGGUGCCUGUAACCCCAUCUACUCAGGAGGUUGAGGCAGGAGAAUCUCUUAAACCUGGGAGGUGCUGGUUGCAGUGAGCUGAGUUAGUGCCACUGCACUCCAGCCUGUGCAACAGAGGAAGACUCCAACAACAACAACAAAAAAAAAAAAAAAAAAAAAAAAAGGCACUAAGAGAAAAGUCAGAACAUAGAAACUAGUCCAUUGGCUCUCAAAUUCAGGGUGGCAUCAGAAUCACUUGGAAGCCUUGUUAAAACACAGACUGUUGCAUCCUCACACCCCACCCCAAAGUUUUAGGAGUUCUGGGGUAGUGUCUGGGAUCCUGUAUUUCUAACAGGAAUUUUGUAUUUCUAACAGGAAAAUUGGCACUACAUUCCCAUGUAAUGCCAAUGCUACUGGUCUGCCAGUCACACCGUGAGAACCAAGUACCUCGCCUUUUCAUACACUAACUCCUUUGAUUCUCCCCAACAAUCCUUUCCCAUUUUAUAGAUGAGAAAACUGAAGCCCAAAGAAUAAGCUCUACUCGCAUUCCAGCUUGAUGAUUAACCAAAUCACUAUAAUCUUCAGAAAGUGAAUUAACUUUUCUGUGGCUCAUUUUCUUCAUCUACUGAAAAAAUAUUGUCAGGUACUUCGUGAGGAUUAAAAGGACAGUGGUGUCUAAGAAGUGCUCCGCAAAGUCAAAGACAAGGCAGAAUUCUAGGAAUCUCACUUAGCACAUGGUUGUGUUUUUGUCACUUUUUUAUUUGCAUGGGAAAUUUUUAACCACAGUCUUGGCAAAGUACUCCAUCCCAUUGUCCAAACAUCAGUAUCCACAGAUUCUGUUUUCCGAGGUUUUGUUUUGUUUGUUAAUUACUGAGUUUGUUUUUCCAAGAACUUCCCUUAUGUGCUAUAAGUGGAGGAUGUUGGGGGGCAUGUGAAGGUGGGGAGCUGUUUCAAACACAUUGAACAUUUCCAUUUCUAAGACAAUGCUCGACUGGAUAGACAGUGUUCCCUAUGAUGUGAUACAUAGUUAUGUUGGAGAUUAGUGCGAGCAUAGCCUCCUUUGGUAUAAGGUUCUCUGAUUUGGCUUUCAGAGGAUUCAGUGUAUUUUGAUUUCUAUAUUUAGAAACCCAAGGCUUUUUGGUAUGCUAUGAACACAUCGAGGCAAGACUAAUUGUAAGCACUUGUACUUAAAUAUUAGUUUCAAGAAUAAGAACCUUCAGAGGUUUCCAUAUUGUAUUCCACUGGAGUAUCAUUAAGGGAAGCAAUUACUUAUCAGGGUAUACUCAAAACAACUAUCGCAUUCGGAGGAAAUAAUGGGAGUUGUCUGUCUAAAUUGCUAGGCAGGGGCCCUGGAAAUCACUUAGCAUAAUUCUUGGCAUAAGGUAAGCAGUCAAUACAUGGAACAGAGAUUCACCCAAAUGAGCACAUAGUAUGUGUUAGGAUUUUACACAUAGCAUGUCAUUGAGUCUUUAUAAUGUCCCCUGAUUUAGGUAUGGCUGUUCAUUUAUAGAUGAGGAAACUGAGAUUCAUGGAAGUUAGGCGAUGUUUAUCAGGUCCUUAGGGAAGUAGGUGAGGGCUGAAUUUAUGAUGCCAGCCCAUAGGUGCUUGAUGUCAAAAGCAAUUUUCUUUCCACUACACUAGGCUAUUUCCUUCCUUGCCUCUUUCCUUUUUGUCUUCCCUCCUCUAUAGGGUUCCUUCCACAAAUAUCAGAAGUCUUUGUGAAUGCCAGCCAACAACCACUGUCAGCAAGGUAUUCCCAUUUUAUGGAUUGGUUCAUAGUAGAAAAAAGUGAUACCUCAAAGCCACCCCCGAAAAGUUUCAGUAUAAAAUACGUAACUUCUUUCUGAAUCCUAUUCCUCAGCCCUCAACUAUAAGCGCGAGGGUACGUUACAGAGGAUCCUUUAUUUAGGAAAACAAAGUGUUUGGGUCUAGACAACAGGCCCAUGACAGUCCAUCACCCAGGGCCAAGGCUCCCAGCUGCCCAAGGUGGCUGAGAUACAUGGGAGGAAAAACUGGUCUUGCUUCCAAUUUGAAUUGCAAAUGCUUCCUGGAGACAGAAGUCAGGCGGAUAUGCCCAUUUAUUUAUUGCCUAGUGCUACAAUAGCUAAAUAAAAAUAAAUAAAUAAAAGUAAAGCACCUACUGAUUUAUUAUUCAGAAUAAAUACAUAAAUAAAGGCCUAGAGCAAUAAAAAGGGUUAAUUGAGGGCUUUCUUUGCAUUUUCCCCUAAACACCAGUUGUCUUUCUCUUCUAUUUCUUCACUUUUUUUCCCCCGUUUUUAUGCCUCAUGCCUCUUUUAAUUUUUUCUGUUUUCCACAUCCUUUCUCUAUCUUUCUGUCCCUCUCUUCAAGAACCGUUCCCCUUCAUCUCCUGAGCACCUCCUCUCUAGUAUUUUGUGUCUGGUUCCAAGAGGAAAUAGCAGAGCAGUAGAGUUUUCACCUCCCUGUUGGCAAGUGCUUUGUGUCACACUGUCACUUAGGACACACUGAUCUAUAGGUCUCUUCUGCUGCUGAGAAGAGACAGGGAUGGUGAAGGUACAUCUCGAGCUGGGAUAUUUUCUCCUAAAAUGUACCCUAAAAAUUGCACCCAGCAUCUAAUUUUAAAUGGAUUACAGAACUGGAUUUUUUUCACGGCUUUUUCUUACUAUAAAAGUAAUAAAUACUUACUGAAAAUACAGAAAAAUAUAAAGAGAGUAAUCACCCAUUCUUACUGUAAUAUGAAAGCAAUCACUAUUAAAUGUGUAUGCCUUUUAUCCCUGUAUUUUAACAAACAUCACGUUUGUUCAUAUAUAUCACUAAUGAUAUAUCACACAUUCAUGUAUCACUAAUUUUACAUACAUGCAUGCACUGUUCACAUUAUUCUAAUUCUCAUCAACAUCAUUAUGGCUGCAUCUUAUUCCAAUGUGUGAACAUACCAAAAUACACUGAGUCAUACUUCUUUUGGUAGAUAGCUGGCUUUUUGUUUUUUUUCCAUUUUUUGCGUUAUAAAUAACGCUGCCAUGAGGCAAACACAGUGGCUUGCACCUGUAAUCCCAGCUACUUGGGAGGCUAAGGAAGGAGGACUGCUUGAGGCCAAGAGUUGGAGGCCAUCCUGGGCAACAUAGCAAGAUCCACCCAUCUCUAAAAAAUAAAAUUUAAUUUAAAAUAAUAAUAAAUAAAUAAUGUUACCAU